Pungitius pungitius (ninespine stickleback) is the source of this 1107-nucleotide long non-coding RNA. RefSeq lists it as uncharacterized. The transcript is spliced from 3 exons. Lineage: Eukaryota; Metazoa; Chordata; Actinopteri; Perciformes; Gasterosteidae. The record is from RefSeq and is a predicted model, not a curated record.
UGUCCGGGACAGACGGGCUCGUUGCUUUCUCCUGUGGGACAUGAGAGCUCGCAGCCUGAGAGGUGUGGACGAGUCAUAACAAAGUCAACGCAGCUCUUAGUUCAUGUGCCAUAGCGUAUCUGGAACAAACUCCGCUUUUUUAUCAUUAGGGUUGAAAAUGUCUCUGUUCUUAUUUUACAUUUCCUAUUUUGCAAUUCAUUGCAAUAUUAAUGUCUUAUUCCAUUUGAAGUUAAUCCUUUUUCGGUGAAUCUGUUGUAUGCCUUUAUGUUUUAUCUAAAGUGCAUUAAAUACGGAAAAGCUAGUUUAUUCAUUUCAUGCACCUUUCUAAAGCAAGCAAAGAGCUUCAAGGUUUUUACGGUACAGAGCAAACACAACGCGCCUUUGGCUCCUACUCAGCGAAUAAUGCCGGUCAUUUUCCCCAACCCAGCAAUUUGUCUCUCUUAGGCUACAGAUUUUGCGGUGGUUAUGAAAGAAAGAGAAUCCAGUGUCUUUCCAACACACGUCUUUGGAGUAAACCAAGUAAAAAUGUGUUUCAACACUCCCUCCCGGAAGAGGAAGAAGGAGCCACGGAGGUAUCACAGUACAGCCGCAUACUUCGUAAUCAGAUGGCUCCCUUGUCUGGCAGCUACACUGAGAGGCUCCUGUGCUUUAGGCUGACUCACUACACAGGCACAUUCCCCGCUUGUUCUCGAGCAGGUACACAACAGGUAUCACUACAAGCGCCCUUUGAGAAUGACCACGGAGCAGCUCCGGAAACCAGCGUGUUCCUGGAGUUAAAGAACACGCUGUACUUUGCCAGGAGGUGAAAGGCUUUCAAUGAAAAAGAAGACUUGGACCGCUGCAUUAAGAGGAGACUUUAUUGAGGAUAAUCUACACACUAAAGUGGCCUUGGGAAAAGAACAAGGAUUCAGUUCUGUUUCAACCACACCCAAACACCCCCUGCCCCCCCUUCUCCGGAUGGGUGGACCACCAGCAGCUGAUCCUCCACCACUGUGGCCCUCCGGUUCCACGUGGAGCGCAGUGUGAGAGGAAAGAGACGGAGUCAACUGCUCCUCUGGGUGAAACACCCAUUGAUAUCUUUACAUUCAUAAAAGAGUGUAAUGGAAA